GGUCUCCGUUGGUGAACCAGCGGAGGGAUCAUUACUGAGUUACCGCUCUAUAACCCUUUGUGAACAUACCUACAACUGUUGCUUCGGCGGGUAGGCCGUCCCCUGAAAAGGACGCCUCCCGGCCCGGACCGGACCCCCCGCGGGACCGGACCCGGCGCCCGCCGGAGGAUAACCAAACUCUAUUGUAACGACGUUUCUUCUGAGUGGCAUAAGCAAAAUAAUCAAAACUUUUAACAACGGAUCUCUUGGUUCUGGCAUCGAUGAAGAACGCAGCGAAAUGCGAUAAGUAAUGUGAAUUGCAGAAUUCAGUGAAUCAUCGAAUCUUUGAACGCACAUUGCGCCCGCCAGCAUUCUGGCGGGCAUGCCUGUUCGAGCGUCAUUUCAACCCUCAAGCUCUGCUUGGUGUUGGGGCUCUACGGUCGACGUAGGCCCUCAAAGGUAGUGGCGGACCCUCCCGGAGCCUCCUUUGCGUAGUAACAUUUCGUCUCGCACUGGGAUCCGGAGGGACUCUUGCCGUAAAACCCCCCAAUUUUCCAAAGGUUGACCUCGGAUCAGGUAGGAAUACCCGCUGAACUUAAGCA
RNAcentral lists this ribosomal RNA (581 nucleotides) under Colletotrichum boninense. RNAcentral describes it as "eukaryotic LSU rRNA". The stretch from base 226 to 379 matches the Rfam family "5.8S ribosomal RNA". The record is from RNAcentral. Lineage: Eukaryota; Fungi; Ascomycota; Sordariomycetes; Glomerellales; Glomerellaceae.